AGUGAACGCUGGCGGUAGGCCUAACACAUGCAAGUCGAACGGCAGCACAGUAAGAGCUUGCUCUUACGGGUGGCGAGUGGCGGACGGGUGAGGAAUACAUCGGAAUCUACUUUUUCGUGGGGGAUAACGUAGGGAAACUUACGCUAACACCGCAUACGACCUACGGGUGAAAGCAGGGGAUCUUCGGACCUUGCGCGAUUGAAUGAGCCGAUGUCGGAUUAGCUAGUUGGCGGGGUAAAGGCCCACCAAGGCGACGAUCCGUAGCUGGUCUGAGAGGAUGAUCAGCCACACUGGAACUGAGACACGGUCCAGACUCCUACGGGAGGCAGCAGUGGGGAAUAUUGGACAAUGGGCGAAAGCCUGAUCCAGCCAUACCGCGUGGGUGAAGAAGGCCUUCGGGUUGUAAAGCCCUUUUGUUGGGAAAGAAAAGCAGCAGGUUAAUACCCCGCUGUUCUGACGGUACCCAAAGAAUAAGCACCGGCUAACUUCGUG
RNAcentral lists this ribosomal RNA (492 nucleotides) under uncultured bacterium. RNAcentral's name for it is "partial 16S ribosomal RNA". It matches the Rfam family "Bacterial small subunit ribosomal RNA", at positions 29 to 507 of the family's 1533-position model. The record is from RNAcentral.